GAAGACCGUAUCCUCCAUACUCCUUGGCCGAUUUCUCUUGGAACAACAUCACUGAUUCAUUGGAUCCUGCCACCCUGAGUGCCACAUUUCAAGGCCACCCCAUGAACGACCCUACCAGGACUUUUGCCAAUGGCAGCCUGGCCUUCAGGGUCCAGGCCUUUUCCAGGUCCAGCCGACCAGCCCAACCCCCUCGCCUCCUGCACACAGCAGACACCUGUCAGCUAGAGGUGGCCCUGGUUGGAGCCUCUCCCCGGGGAAACCAUUCCCUGUUUGGGCUGGAGGUAGCCACAUUGGGCCAGGGCCCUGACUGUCCCUCAAUGCAGGAGCAGCACUCCAUCGAUGAUGAAUAUGCACCGGCCGUCUUCCAGGUCAGGCUUCCUGGAGAGAGGCAGAUGGGUGAGGAAUGCAGGUGGGACACCAUUGGGACCUAAAACUCUUUCAACCAUUUGCCAUUUAGCAACACUUUCUUUGGGUCGUUUAAGAGCUAGGCACUGUGCUAAUGAAUCUGACCAGUCUCUGCCCUCAGUGGAGACAGACAGGAAGUGCAAUACGACUUACACUCUGGCAGAUGGAGAUCUGCAAGGGCCUGGGGGCCGAGAGGAGGGCUGAGUCCAGACUUGGAGGCUUGGAAAACAACUCAGUCCUCACCCAGUCAAACUCCCCAUUUUUACAGAGGAGGGAUUGAGGCCCUGCCUAGGACUCAGGACUCCUGCUGCUAGUCACAGAAUAAGGCUGGGAGAGGCAGGGAAAAGAGGGUUGGGCACAGCUUGGUCCUCUUUACCCUCCCUUGUUUGCCUUUCUUCCCAGUUGGACCAGCUGCUGUGGGGCUCCCUCCCAGCAGGCUUCGCACAGUGGCGACCAGUGGCUUACUCCCAGAAGCCGGGGGGCCGAGAAUCAGCCCUGCCCUGCCAAGCUUCCCCUCUUCAUCCUGCCUUAGCAUACUCUCUUCCCCAGUCACCCAUUGUCCGAGCCUUCUUUGGGUCCCAGAAUAACUUCUGUG
Molecule: small RNA, 1000 nt
Filed under: Pongo abelii (Sumatran orangutan)
Lineage: Eukaryota; Metazoa; Chordata; Mammalia; Primates; Hominidae
Description: retained intron
Source: RNAcentral